Molecule: ribosomal RNA, 205 nt
Filed under: uncultured bacterium
Lineage: Bacteria
Description: partial 16S ribosomal RNA
Rfam family: Bacterial small subunit ribosomal RNA
Source: RNAcentral
CUCAGUUCGGAUCGGAGUCUGNAACCCGACNCCGUGAAGCUGGAUUCGCUGUAAUCGCGCAUCAGCCAUGGCGCGGUGAAUACGUUCCCGGGCCUUGUACACACCGCCCGUCAAGCCAUGGGAGCCGGGGGUGCUUGAAGUGCGUCGCCGCAAGGCGCGCCCUAGAGCAAAACCGGUGACUGGGGCUAAGUCGUAACAAGGUACC